CAGUAGCCGCGGUAAAACGGAGGGUGCAAGCGUUAAUCGGAAUUACUGGGCGUAAAGCGCACGCAGGCGGUCUUUCAAGUCGGAUGUGAAAUCCCCGGGCUCAACCUGGGAACUGCAUUCGAAACUGGCAGGCUAGAGUCUUGUAGAGGGGGGUAGAAUUCCAGGUGUAGCGGUGAAAUGCGUAGAGAUCUGGAGGAAUACCGGUGGCGAAGGCGGCCCCCUGGACAAAUACUGACGCUCAGGUGCGAAAGCGUGGGGAGCAAACAGGAUUAGAUACCCGCGUAGUCCCUGUCUCUUAUAC
Molecule: ribosomal RNA, 301 nt
Filed under: uncultured bacterium
Lineage: Bacteria
Description: partial 16S ribosomal RNA
Rfam family: Bacterial small subunit ribosomal RNA
Source: RNAcentral